UACCAGCACCCCGAGUGGUCGGGACGUUUUAUUGGGCCUAAAGCAUCCGGUAGCCGGUUCUACAAGUUCUUCCGUUAAAUCCACCUGCUUAACAGAUGGGCUGCGGAAGAUACUAUGGAGCUAGGAGGCGGGAGAGGCAAGCGGUACUCGAUGGGGUAGGGGUAAAAUCCGUUGAUCCAUUGAAGACCACCAGUGGCGAAGGCGGCUUGCCAGAACGCGCUCGACGGUGAGGGAUGAAAGCUGGGGGGAGCAAACCGG
RNAcentral lists this ribosomal RNA (258 nucleotides) under uncultured bacterium. RNAcentral's name for it is "partial 16S ribosomal RNA". It matches the Rfam family "Archaeal small subunit ribosomal RNA", at positions 474 to 727 of the family's 1478-position model. The record is from RNAcentral.